This 253-nucleotide ribosomal RNA is filed under the name uncultured bacterium. RNAcentral describes it as "partial 16S ribosomal RNA". It matches the Rfam family "Bacterial small subunit ribosomal RNA", at positions 524 to 776 of the family's 1533-position model. The record is from RNAcentral.
UACGUAGGGGGCAAGCGUUGUCCGGAUUUACUGGGCGUAAAGAGCGUGUAGGCGGCCAAACAGGUCCGUUGUGAAAACUGGAGGCUUAACCUCCAGACGUCGACGGAAACCGUAUGGCUAGAGUCCGGAAGAGGAGAGUGGAAUUCCUGGUGUAGCGGUGAAAUGCGCAGAUAUCAGGAAGAACACCGAUGGCGAAAGCAGCUCUCUGGGACGGUACUGACGCUGAGGCGCGAAAGCGUGGGGAGCGAACAGG